ACCAUCCUAAGGUAGCGAAAUUCCUUGUCGGGUAAGUUCCGACCUGCACGAAUGGCGUAACGACUUCCCCGCUGUCUCAACCAUGAGCUCGGCGAAAUUGCAGUACGAGUAAAGAUGCUCGUUUCGCGCAGAAGGACGGAAAGACCCCGGGACCUUUACUAUAGCUUGGUAUUGGUGUUCGCUUGGACUUGUGUAGGAUAGGUGGGAGACUGUGAAGCUGCCGCGCCAGCGGUGGUGGAGUCGUCGUUGAAAUACCAUUCUGGUUCAAGCGGUCACCUCAACCUUGGCCCGUGAUCCGGGUUGGGGACAGUGCCUGGUGGGUAGUUUAACUGGGGCGGUUGCCUCCUAAAAUGUAACGGAGGCGCUCAAAGGUUCCCUCAGCCUGGUUGGUAAUCAGGUGGCGAGUGCAAGUGUACAAGGGAGCUUGACUGUGAGACCGACGGGUCGAGCAGGUGCGAAAGCAGGAACUAGUGAUCCGGCCAUGGCACGUGGGUGCGUGGUCGCUCAACGGAUAAAAGGUACCCCGGGGAUAACAGGCUGAUCUUGCCCAAGAGUCCAUAUCGACGGCAUGGUUUGGCACCUCGAUGUCGGCUCGUCGCAUCCUGGGGCUGGAGUCGGUCCCAAGGGUUGGGCUGUUCGCCCAUUAAAGCGGUACGCGAGCUGGGUUCAGAACGUCGUGAGACAGUUCGGUCCCUAUCCUCUGUGCGCGCAGGAAAUUUGAGAAGGGCCGUCCCUAGUACGAGAGGACCGGGAUGGACGAACCUCUGGUGUGCCAGUUGUACCGCCAGGUGCAUGGCUGGUUAGCUACGUUCGGAAGGGAUAACCGCUGAAAGCAUCUAAGCGGGAAGCCUGCUUCAAGAUGAGAUUUCCACGCCCCCCAGUGGGGUGAGAGGCCCCCGCCAGACUAGCGGGUUGAUAGGCCAGAGGUGGAAGCACAGCAAUGUGCUCGUGAGCCGACUGGUACUAAUGGGCCAACACUAAACAAC
This 986-nucleotide ribosomal RNA is filed under the name human oral metagenome. RNAcentral describes it as "bacterial LSU rRNA". It matches the Rfam family "Bacterial large subunit ribosomal RNA", at positions 1945 to 2925 of the family's 2925-position model. The record is from RNAcentral.